AGUUCUGAUUAUUGAAAGGUGCUUGCAUCUUGAUUUGAUUUUGAACGAGUGGCGGACGGGUGAGUAACACGUGGGUAACCUGCCCUUAAGUGGGGGAUAACAUUUGGAAACAGAUGCUAAUACCGCAUAAAUCCAAGAACCGCAUGGUUCUUGGCUGAAAGAUGGCGUAAGCUAUCGCUUUUGGAUGGACCCGCGGCGUAUUAGCUAGUUGGUGAGGUAACGGCUCACCAAGGCAAUGAUACGUAGCCGAACUGAGAGGUUGAUCGGCCACAUUGGGACUGAGACACGGCCCAAACUCCUACGGGAGGCAGCAGUAGGGAAUCUUCCACAAUGGACGCAAGUCUGAUGGAGCAACGCCGCGUGAGUGAAGAAGGCUUUCGGGUCGUAAAACUCUGUUGUUGGAGAAGAAUGGUCGGCAGAGUAACUGUUGUCGGCGUGACGGUAUCCAACCAGAAAGCCACGGCUAACUACGUGCCAGCAGCCGCGGUAAUACGUAGGUGGCAAGCGUUAUCCGGAUUUAUUGGGCGUAAAGCGAGCGCAGGCGGUUUUUUAAGUCUGAUGUGAAAGCCCUCGGCUUAACCGAGGAAGUGCAUCGGAAACUGGGAAACUUGAGUGCAGAAGAGGACAGUGGAACUCCAUGUGUAGCGGUGAAAUGCGUAGAUAUAUGGAAGAACACCAGUGGCGAAGGCGGCUGUCUGGUCUGUAACUGACGCUGAGGCUCGAAAGCAUGGGUAGCGAACAGGAUUAGAUACCCUGGUAGUCCAUGCCGUAAACGAUGAAUGCUAGGUGUUGGAGGGUUUCCGCCCUUCAGUGCCGCAGCUAACGCAUUAAGCAUUCCGCCUGGGGAGUACGACCGCAAGGUUGAAACUCAAAGGAAUUGACGGGGGCCCGCACAAGCGGUGGAGCAUGUGGUUUAAUUCGAAGCAACGCGAAGAACCUUACCAGGUCUUGACAUCUUUUGAUCACCUGAGAGAUCAGGUUUCCCCUUCGGGGGCAAAAUGACAGGUGGUGCAUGGUUGUCGUCAGCUCGUGUCGUGAGAUGUUGGGUUAAGUCCCGCAACGAGCGCAACCCUUAUGACUAGUUGCCAGCAUUUAGUUGGGCACUCUAGUAAGACUGCCGGUGACAAACCGGAGGAAGGUGGGGAUGACGUCAAAUCAUCAUGCCCCUUAUGACCUGGGCUACACACGUGCUACAAUGGAUGGUACAACGAGUUGCGAGACCGCGAGGUCAAGCUAAUCUCUUAAAGCCAUUCUCAGUUCGGACUGUAGGCUGCAACUCGCCUACACGAAGUCGGAAUCGCUAGUAAUCGCGGAUCAGCACGCCGCGGUGAAUACGUUCCCGGGCCUUGUACACACCGCCCGUCACACCAUGAGAGUUUGUAACACCCGAAGCC
This 1394-nucleotide ribosomal RNA is filed under the name Lacticaseibacillus rhamnosus. Its description in RNAcentral is "bacterial SSU rRNA". It matches the Rfam family "Bacterial small subunit ribosomal RNA", at positions 50 to 1428 of the family's 1533-position model. The record is from RNAcentral. Lineage: Bacteria; Bacillati; Bacillota; Bacilli; Lactobacillales; Lactobacillaceae.